RNAcentral lists this ribosomal RNA (506 nucleotides) under uncultured bacterium. RNAcentral's name for it is "bacterial SSU rRNA". It matches the Rfam family "Bacterial small subunit ribosomal RNA", at positions 8 to 518 of the family's 1533-position model. The record is from RNAcentral.
AGAGUUUGAUUAUGGCUCAGGAUGAACGCUGGCGGCGUGCUUAAUACAUGCAAGUCGAACGAAGACAUCUCGCCGAAGCUUGCUUCAUUGAGAUAUCUUAGUGGCGGACGGGUGAGUAACGCGUGGGUAACCUGCCUUACACAGGGGGAUAACAGUUAGAAAUGACUGCUAAUACCGCAUAAGCGCACAUUAUCGCAUGAUAGAGUGUGAAAAGAUUUAUCGGUGUAAGAUGGACCCGCGUCUGAUUAGCUAGUUGGUGAGGUAACGGCCCACCAAGGCGACGAUCAGUAGCCGGCCUGAGAGGGUGAACGGCCACAUUGGGACUGAGACACGGCCCAAACUCCUACGGGAGGCAGCAGUAGGGAAUAUUGGACAAUGGGGGAAACCCUGAAUCCAGCGACGCCGCGUGAGUGAAGAAGUAUUUCGGUACGUAAAGCUCUAUCAGCAGGGAAGAAAAUGACGGUACCUGACUAAGAAGCACCGGCUAAAUACGUGCCAGCCGCCGC